This 247-nucleotide ribosomal RNA is filed under the name uncultured bacterium. RNAcentral describes it as "partial 16S ribosomal RNA". It matches the Rfam family "Bacterial small subunit ribosomal RNA", at positions 523 to 769 of the family's 1533-position model. The record is from RNAcentral.
AUACGAAGGGGGCUAGCGUUGUUCGGAAUUACUGGGCGUAAAGGGUGCGUAGGCGGCAUGUUAAGUUGGAUGUGAAAUACCCGGGCUCAACCUGGGGGGUGCAUUCAAAACUGGCAAGCUAGAGUGCAGGAGAGGGAAGCGGAAUUCCUAGUGUAGCGGUGAAAUGCGUAGAUAUUAGGAGGAACACCAGUGGCGAAGGCGGCUUUCUGGACUGUAACUGACGCUGAUGCACGAAAGCGUGGGGAGC